RNAcentral lists this ribosomal RNA (386 nucleotides) under Pseudomonas sp. BS1(2007). RNAcentral describes it as "bacterial SSU rRNA". It matches the Rfam family "Bacterial small subunit ribosomal RNA", at positions 1064 to 1449 of the family's 1533-position model. The record is from RNAcentral. Lineage: Bacteria; Pseudomonadati; Pseudomonadota; Gammaproteobacteria; Pseudomonadales; Pseudomonadaceae.
GUCGUGAGAUGUUGGGUUAAGUCCCGUAACGAGCGCAACCCUUGUCCUUAGUUACCAGCACGUUAAGGUGGGCACUCUAAGGAGACUGCCGGUGACAAACCGGAGGAAGGUGGGGAUGACGUCAAGUCAUCAUGGCCCUUACGGCCAGGGCUACACACGUGCUACAAUGGUCGGUACAGAGGGUUGCCAAGCCGCGAGGUGGAGCUAAUCCCAUAAAACCGAUCGUAGUCCGGAUCGCAGUCUGCAACUCGACUGCGUGAAGUCGGAAUCGCUAGUAAUCGUGAAUCAGAAUGUCACGGUGAAUACGUUCCCGGGCCUUGUACACACCGCCCGUCACACCAUGGGAGUGGGUUGCUCCAGAAGUAGCUAGUCUAACCGCAAGGGGG